This 785-nucleotide ribosomal RNA is filed under the name uncultured bacterium. RNAcentral's name for it is "partial 16S ribosomal RNA". The record is from RNAcentral.
AUCUGUUCAACAUCUAGUAUCCAUUGUUUACAGCUAGGACUACUGGGGUAUCUAAUCCCAUUUGCUACCCUAGCUUUCGUCUCUGAGUGUUAGUAAUAGCCCAGUAAAGUGCCUUCGCCAUCGGUGUUCUUUCCAAUCUCUACGCAUUUCACCGCUCCACUGGAAAUUCCCUUUACCCCUACUAUACUCUAGUCUAAUAGUUUCGACUGCGAUUUCGAGGUUGAGCCUCAAGAUUUAACAGUUGACUUAUUAAACCACCUACAGACGCUUUACGCCCAGUGAUUCCGGAUAACACUUGCAUCCUCCGUCUUACCGCGGCUGCUGGCACGGAGUUAGCCGAUGCUUAUUCUUCAGGUACACGUCAUUUUGUUCCUCCCUGAAAAAAGAGGUUUACAACCCAUAGGCCGUCAUCCCUCACGCGGUAUUGCUCCGUCAGGCUUUCGCCCAUUGCGGAAAAUUCCCUACUGCUGCCUCCCGUAGGAGUCUGGACCGUGUCUCAGUUCCAGUGUGUCUGAUCGUCCUCUCAAACCAGAUACUGAUCGUCGCCUUGGUAAGCCUUUACCCCACCAACAAGCUAAUCAGCCGCAAGCUUCUCUCUAGGCGGAUAAAUCCGUUUCACUCGAAAGCAUAUGGGGUAUUAGCAACCGUUUCCAGUUGUUGUCCCCCUCCUAAAGGCAAAUUCUUACGUGUUACUCACCCGUCCGCCACUUGAGUUAAAAACUCUCGUACGACUUGCAUGUAUAAAGCAUACCGCCAGCGUUCAUCCUGAGCCAGGAUCAAACUCU